UUAGGUCGCCAUGUUGUUUAGUAAUUUGUGCGUCUCUGUUUUGUUUGUGUAUUAAGACGAUUGAAAGAUUAAAACAAAAGUAAAAAAAUGUUCUACGAACACAUAAUAUUGGCCAAAAAAGGGCCGCUAGCCAGAAUUUGGUUAGCAGCUCAUUGGGAUAAGAAAAUUACAAAAGCUCACGUAUUCGAAACAAAUAUAGAAAAAUCUGUGGAAGGUAUUUUACAGCCAAAAGUAAAAUUGGCGCUACGUACCUCAGGCCAUUUACUGCUUGGAGUUGUGCGAAUAUACUCAAGGAAAGCAAAAUAUCUAUUGGCGGAUUGCAAUGAGGCAUUUGUUAAAAUCAAAAUGGCAUUCAGGCCAGGAAUGGUGGACUUACCUGAAGGCCAUAGAGAAGCUAAUGUUAAUGCCAUUACGCUGCCCGAAGUGUUCCACGAUUUUGACACAGCUUUACCCGAACUUAAUGAUAUUGAUAUUGAGGCCCAGUUCUCUGUCAACCAGUCUCGAGCAGAUGAAAUAACUAUGCGAGAAGAUUAUGGAAGUUUGUCGCUGUCCCUGCAGGACGACGGCUUUGGUGACAUUGGAUUUGAGGCGGACACACCUGAAAUGAUGCGUGGCCCAUUGUCAGCAAAUAUAAAUGAUCAGCUUUUCGAUGACGAUGUUCUCACAAAUGUCGUUGAACCAAAUGAUCCAAACAUUACGUUAACACAGUCCGAAAUGCCAAGUGAUCGACUGGAUGGCGAUGGCUUUGGCGACUCCUUUGGACAACCAGCAUUAUUCGAAGAUGAUCUAUUUGGCGAGCCCCCGCAAACAGUUGGCAUUAAUACAGCAAUUAAUGAACCCAACAAUCCGCCAGAUUAUUCGGAUGAUGAUGGUAUCGACAAUUUUAACAACCCUCCAUCGCCGGCAUCUUCCUGUGCCGACUCGGUUCACGACGACAAAGAGGAUAACUUUCAGGCAAAAGAUCAUAGUUUUAAUGAAGACGUCAAUGCAGCUAGUGGGGAUGCAGCAUUAAAUGAUCUUACUCUGGUACAAAAUGACGACGAGGGAUUUGCUCUAGCGCCCAUUGAUGCAACUACUUAUAAGGGUGCCACAAAAGCCAAGCGCAAGCGGAAGCUUAUUAUUGAUGAAAUCAAAAAUAUAUCGGGAGAGGAAAUGAAAGCUCAACUUGCAGAUACAUCCGAUAUACUAACGACACUCGAUCUGGCCCCACCCACAAAGAGAUUGAUGUAUUGGAAAGAAACGGGUGGUGUGGAAAAGUUGUUUGCUCUGCCCUCUCGGACAAUCCCCGCCAGAGUACUACUUAAUAACUAUAAUCGGCAAUUACUUUCACACUCAACGCCCCUGGAGGACUUCUCAGCUAUUGCCCCCAUGGACGUUCUGGCCUUGGAAUUGUACGCACAGGAAGGCGAGAGCUCAGUUAUAAUUGUAAACAAAAAGGGACGUAAGCGUAAGAAUGAUGCCUCUGCAAGUUUAGCUGCUGAUCAAAGUGCAGAUAAUAAUACACUGACUCAGAGCUUGGCAGCGCCCGAAAUGAUUCGUGAGCAGGAGAAAUCGCUGGGCGUUUCGGCUGUAUCGUUAGAUAUUACCACAAAAGAGCACGAAAGCAUUGGACCACAAAAUGAGGCAGCGAUCUUUGAGAAUAUGCGUAGUCCUGCUCUGCUAUCAUUCAAUGACAUGGAGAACUUCUCAAAUCUCAAUGAACUACCCUUGACACCGCGUGAUGGUCACCAAGAUAUGGGAGAUGAUUUCCAUCACGGCGACCUAACACCUGCUGGAUUAGAGCAUGGCCAGAUGACACCACACCAUGGAGGAAUUGGAGACAUUGAUUGUAUGCCAAACCUGCCACCGGACCAAGUCAGCUCGAUAUUCAAUGAGACAGAAGGAAGAAAUAUCUCCGCUGGCAACAACUUCAAUAAGUCAUGCGAUAUUUCAACAGAUUGGAAUGACUACGAUUUUCCACCUUCAGUGGGCAUUCCGAAUGCCACAGCCGAGGAACAAAUGGAAAAUGAAACAGAUGAGCAAUUCGAGGAGCGAGUCCUGAACAAACGAGCCGCGCAGCUUUUCCUUGAUGUCAGAGUUCACUUUAAUAACAAUGAUCAUCUAACACUCUCGCAGCUAACAGUACGAAACUCAAGGAAACAGGCUGCUCAGAAGUUCUACUCGCUGCUGGUAUUGAAAAAGUUCAAAGCUCUGCAUAUAACGCAAUCCGCGCCAUAUGCCGAUAUAACGGUAACGCGUGGUCCUCUGUUCGACAAUCCCAAAUUGUAAAGCCUGCCUGCAUGAUGUUUGAGCAGUGAGAAUCCAAAAUAAAAAUUGUAAGAAAAACCCGUUAUGAUUAUAUGCAAGAUUUCUAAUUAAGUUAAAGAAGUUUUUUAAAUGCAAUUAAUCGUAAUGUUGUAAAAGUAUUGCUGCAUUAAUUAUAUGAUUUACAACCAGUUCAUUUAAAUUAUUUACAAAUAAUUAAACUCUUUUAGGAAUUUUCAAACGAGUGUUAAACAUUUUGUAGUAGUAUUUAAAUAUUUUUGUCGGCUAUAUAGAUUUUUCUAAUUCGCGUUUUCGGUUAGACAAUCUAGGCUUUCAGCUGCUGAACCUCUACAAAUUGUUGGAUCUUAUUCAGGGAACUUCAAGUUAAAUAACUGUUAAUGAGAGACAAGCAAGGAAAGACUCCCAUUACCGCAUUGUAAAGAGCAUUUGAUAUAAGAGAUUUCGUAGUAUAAAUGUUGUUCCAUUGUAACCAGUAGGCCGAGCACAUUUGAAAUAGUUUGUAAUUUUAUAAAAUAUUUAUUCACAUCUUU
RNA transcript from Drosophila hydei, 2795 nucleotides. It is a transcript of the gene named double-strand-break repair protein rad21 homolog, with no coding region annotated. The record is from RefSeq and is a predicted model, not a curated record. NCBI's taxonomy places the organism in Eukaryota, Metazoa, Arthropoda, Insecta, Diptera, Drosophilidae. The transcript has 2 exons.